Molecule: ribosomal RNA, 267 nt
Filed under: uncultured microorganism
Description: partial 16S ribosomal RNA
Rfam family: Archaeal small subunit ribosomal RNA
Source: RNAcentral
GUGCACCAGUCGAGAAUCCUCCGCAAUGCUCGAAAGAGCGACGGGGGACUCCGAGUGCCUACGCUCAGCGUAGGCUGUUCCCGAGCCUAAAACGCUCGGGGAGUAAGGGCUGGGUAAGACGGGUGCCAGCCGCCGCGGUAAUACCCGCAGCCCGAGUGGUGGCCGCUAUUAUUGGGCCUAAAGCGUCCGUAGCCGGCGUCGGUAAAAUGCCUGGGUAAAUCGUCUGGCCCAACCAGACGAAUUCCGGGUAGACUGCCGGGCUAGGGA